Zophobas morio is the source of this 524-nucleotide long non-coding RNA. RefSeq lists it as uncharacterized. The record is from RefSeq and is a predicted model, not a curated record. NCBI's taxonomy places the organism in Eukaryota, Metazoa, Arthropoda, Insecta, Coleoptera, Tenebrionidae. The transcript is spliced from 3 exons.
UUUUAAAUAUUUUCCCUAAAAGCACUUUCGUGUCAGAUUGAGUGCGUUCUCGAAAUAAUCAUCGCUGCAUUCGAAUUUACAAAAAUCAGAUUUGUAAUCUUGUCUUAUCAGGUGGAUCUGGUUUGUAAAUCUCUUGGAGCCUGAGAUAAUAUCUCAUGAUUGAUAGCAGGGAUUUUGAAGAUGACGUAAAUAAUUAAAUUAUACAAAGUUUUAAACUGAUUGUCCAGUUUAUACCGAAAAAUACUGGUAACAAGUUGGGAUUUUUGAAAAUGGAAACCAAACUUAAGCAAUUCUCGAGACUGUUUAUUUUUGCCAUCGCUGCCAUAAUUGCCCUUUGUGUUAUUGCGGGAAUCGUUUAUGGCGUUCAGUUCAGUGGUGGUGGUGAAGAGUGAAUCGAAUCUCCCUAGUGUAGAAAAUAAAUUUUACAAUGAGGCACGGCCACGUGCCACUAUCACACUAUAGAGUAGCGGAAGUACCUCGAUAAAGCAAGGUGUACCAACCAAGACAUUAAAAAUCCAGAUCUU